Sebastes umbrosus (honeycomb rockfish) is the source of this 400-nucleotide long non-coding RNA. RefSeq lists it as uncharacterized. Lineage: Eukaryota; Metazoa; Chordata; Actinopteri; Perciformes; Sebastidae. The record is from RefSeq and is a predicted model, not a curated record. The transcript has 2 exons.
GCGUGCUAACUUUAGCCCAUGUUGUAAGCUACUGUCAGCUUCCUUUCACCAACAGGCUGAACCAGUUCAACUAACUCAACACGUCCUGGAGAAAUAACAAGGAAAUAUGACAUAAUGUAAACAAACCCAGUGAUAAGAGGUGUCAUGAUGUUAAUAUAUCACUGUUUGAGCCCUCAGUGCUUCAUGAAGGUUUUACCCAAAGAAGUUACAGAGUUGUCAAAAGGAUAUCCAUUGAAAGCCCCUUUUGUCAUCCUAUCCUCUUACUCAUGAGCUAAAAAUAUGUAGUUCCCCUGUUACUGGUGAGUCCUGUAGUGUGAAUGUGUGACUUUACAGGGCAGCUCAUUUGAAUGUGUGAUGAAAACACACACAAUAAAAUCCUGAAUGAUCACCAUUGCCUUGG